Molecule: transfer RNA, 75 nt
Filed under: Plestiodon egregius lividus
Lineage: Eukaryota; Metazoa; Chordata; Lepidosauria; Squamata; Scincidae
Description: tRNA-Phe
Source: RNAcentral
GUUAUUGUAGCUUAUUUUUAUGAAAGCACGGCACUGAAGAUGCCGAGAAGGGUGGAAAAAUUCACCCCAAAAACA